Molecule: ribosomal RNA, 899 nt
Filed under: uncultured Kosmotoga sp.
Lineage: Bacteria; Thermotogati; Thermotogota; Thermotogae; Kosmotogales; Kosmotogaceae
Description: bacterial SSU rRNA
Rfam family: Bacterial small subunit ribosomal RNA
Source: RNAcentral
AGAGUUUGAUCAUGGCUCAGGGUGAACGCUGGCGGCGUGCUUGACACAUGCAAGUCGAACGGUAUGUGGCAACACAUAGAGUGGCGAACGGGUGAGUAACACGUGGGAACGCACCCUACGCAGGGGGAUAACUGACCGAAAGGACAGCUAAUACCGCAUAAGACCGAAAGGUGAAAGGUGCAACUGCACCGGCGAAGGAGCGGCCCGCGGACCAUCAGCUAGUAGGUGGGGUAAGAGCCUACCAAGGCAACGACGGAUAGCCGGCGUGAGAGCGUGGCCGGCCACAAGGACACUGAGAUACGGGUCCUACUCCUACGGGAGGCAGCAGUGCGGAAUUUUAGAUAAUGGAGGCAACUCUGAUCUAGCGACGCCGCGUGCAGGAAGAAGGUCUUCGGAUUGUAAACUGCUGUGGUAAGGGAAAAAUGCCAUGUAGAGUGGAAAGCUACAUGGAGGGAUGGUACUUUACUAGAAAGCCCCGGCUAACUACGUGCCAGCAGCCGCGGUAAUACGUAGGGGGCGAGCGUUACCCGGAAUCACUGGGCGUAAAGGGAGCGUAGGUGGCCUGACAUGUCAACUGUGAAAACCCGGAGCUCAACUCCGGACUUGCAGUUGAAACUGCCAGGCUUGAGGACGGUAGAGGAAGACGGAACUGCCAGUGUAGGGGUAAAAUCCUUAGAUAUUGGCAGGAACGCCGGUGACGAAGGUGGUUUUCUGGGCCGGUUCUGACACUGAUGCUCGAAAGCCAGGGGAGCGAACGGGAUUAGAUACCCCGGUAGUCCUGGCCCUAAACGAUGUUCACUAGGUGUGGGGAGCGGAAAGCUUUCCGUGCUAAAGCUAACGCAAUAAGUGAACCGCCUGGGGAGUACGCCCGCAAGGGUGAAACUCAAAUGAAUUGACGG